This 254-nucleotide ribosomal RNA is filed under the name uncultured bacterium. Its description in RNAcentral is "partial 16S ribosomal RNA". It matches the Rfam family "Bacterial small subunit ribosomal RNA", at positions 524 to 776 of the family's 1533-position model. The record is from RNAcentral.
UACGGGGGGAGCAAGCGUUGUUCGGAUUUACUGGGCGUAAAGGGCGCGUAGGCGGCCACUGCAAGUCGGUUGUGAAAUCUCCGGGCUUAACUCGGAACGGUCAAGUGAUACUGUCGGACUAGAGUACAGAAGGGGCAACUGGAAUUCUCGGUGUAGCGGUGAAAUGCGUAGAUAUCGAGAGGAACACCUGCGGCGAAGGCGGGUUGCUGGGCUGAUACUGACGCUGAGGCGCGAAAGCUAGGGGAGCAAACGGG